RNAcentral lists this long non-coding RNA (1029 nucleotides) under Equus asinus (donkey). RNAcentral's name for it is "lncRNA (ENSEASG00005027249.1)". Lineage: Eukaryota; Metazoa; Chordata; Mammalia; Perissodactyla; Equidae. The record is from RNAcentral.
CUGGAAGACAGUGUUGGAAGAAGGGGCUCCACAAGACAGUCUCGGCUUCUGUGAAGCCAACCUCUUCCCUCCUUGUCCUCCCCUGACUCCAGAACUUGGGCCCAGACAGCCAAAGCCCAGGGGACAACGAGUGACUCAGACGCUUCCUGUUUUCUUGGCCACAGUGACAGAAGGAUGGAAACAGCCCUGAGCUGGGGUUCAUGGCUGAAGAGAGGGGGCCUGGAGAGAUGAGGAGCCUGGAGCUGUGGGGCCAGCCUGCCCUGAGAUGCGGGAGGAGUGAGCUGGGCAGAGCCACAUGGGGUGGUCUCCUGGCCUCGCUGGGUGGAAAUGAGGGUGGUUUGUUGGGUGGCCAGGUCCACAAAGCAGGGAGGACUUGGGGCCAGCGUUUCUUGAAAGGAGCCUUCAUAGAGAAAUGAAGACCCGAAGAAACAGGCCUGAGGAUUUCAAUGCUGGGUUUGCCGUGUGGGAACACCAGAGGGCAGGAAGACGAGCCUGGAGAGCAGAGUCCCCGGAGUCCACAAGCCUGGUGAGGCAGGCACCAGCACUGAUGCCAACAGCACAUCACUGGCCUCAGACACUUACGGCAGUGCUGCCACAGGAAAGACAGCCGCAAGGGAGGCUGUCCGGUGGCCUGCUCACUCUGAGGAUGCAGCCCAGCCUGGGCACUGCAGGAUAGAUGCAAGAGGAGAGAAGAUGCCAAGCUCCCAGGACCUCAAACACACCUCAGGGCCUUUGCACAUGCAGUUCCCUCCAUCAGUUCCCAUGCCUUCCCUGCUCCAUGCCAUCUAGAAAAUGGCUCCAUAUCCUUCAAGUGUCAUGUCCAAUGCCCCCUUCCCUGUGAAGCCAGCCCCACCGUCCCGAAGCCUCCACAGUGUCCAUCAUUCUUCCAUUGGAGCCUGCAUUCCCCUGCGUGGUGUUUAGAACCACCUUGCUUUCCCCCACCCCCCACUGCCUGCCCCUUCAGACCCUGAGCCCCUGGGGGGCACAGGCCAGGUCCCGUUUCACGGCGGCAGGAAGAAAUGAACCAAC